Molecule: ribosomal RNA, 468 nt
Filed under: uncultured bacterium
Lineage: Bacteria
Description: partial 16S ribosomal RNA
Rfam family: Bacterial small subunit ribosomal RNA
Source: RNAcentral
GACGAACGCUGGCGGCGUGCUUAACACAUGCAAGUCGAACGGAAAGGCCCUGCUUUUGUGGGGUGCUCGAGUGGCGAACGGGUGAGUAACACGUGAGUAACCUGCCCUUGACUUUGGGAUAACUUCAGGAAACUGGGCCUAUUACCGGAUAGGAGCUCUUCCUGCAUGGUGGGGUUUGUAAGUUUUCGGCGGUUGGGGAUGGACUCGCGGCUUAUCAGCUUGUUGGUGGGGUAGUGGCUUACCAAGGCUUUGACGGGUAGCCGGCCUGAGAGGGUGACCGGCCACAUUGGGACUGAGAUACGGCCCAGACUCCUACGGGAGGCAGCAGUGGGGAAUAUUGCACAAUGGGCGGAAGCUUGAUGCAGCAACGCCGCGUGCGGGAUGACGGCCUUCGGGUUGUAAACCGCUUUCGCCUGUGACGAAGCGUGAGUGACGGUAAUGGGUAAAGAAGCACCGGCUAACUACGUG